UAGAGCUAAAUUAUCAGGAGAUAAUGGGAUAUCUCUGGUUCAAUUCAAUGGCCUUAGGCCAGGGGACAAUAUGCAAACUGGUUCGAGGAGGCCGAGGUCAAGUUGGCUCUCAUUUCUACUCAGGGUGAAACUUCUGUCUUCUUGAGUCUGAGAGCUGUUAUAGUUGGUAUUGGGGACAGCAAUAUGUUCUUUUCGCCCUCCACUUUGUCUCCUAUUAAAUCAUAAUAAAGCACGGUUUUUUUCUGUUCUUCUUUCUUAGCUCCAAAAUGCAGGGCAGUCAAGGCCAUGGCUUCAGCAGCUUCAGCUACCAAACGAGAAAAAGAUCCCAAAAAACGUGUUAUCAUAACGGGAUUGGGCCUUGUAUCGAUUUUUGGCAGUGAGAUCGAUACAUUCUGUAACAAACUUUUGGAGGGAGAGAGUGGGAUUCACCUAAUUGACAGGUUUGAUGCUUCGAAAUACUCCAUCCGGUUUGCAAGUCGGAUUCAUGAUUUCUCUUCUGAAGGCUACAUUGAUAGGAAGAAUGAUCGCCGGCUUGAUGAUUCCUGGCGGUACUGUUUAGUUGCUGGGGAGAGGGCCCUUGAAGAUGCCAAUCUUGGAACUGAAGUUAUCAAAAAGUCGGUCAGAUUUCAUAAGCAGCACAUUGUGGA
Juglans regia (Persian walnut) is the source of this 647-nucleotide long non-coding RNA. RefSeq lists it as uncharacterized. The record is from RefSeq and is a predicted model, not a curated record. NCBI's taxonomy places the organism in Eukaryota, Viridiplantae, Streptophyta, Magnoliopsida, Fagales, Juglandaceae. The transcript has 3 exons.